ACUCCUGCGGGAGGCAGCAGUGGGGAAUUUUGGACAAUGGGCGAAAGCCUGAUCCAGCAAUGCCACGUGUGUGAAGAAGGCCUUCGGGUUGUAAAGCACUUUUGUCCGGAAAGAAAUCCUUGGCUCUAAUACAGUCGGGGGAUGACGGUACCGGAAGAAUAAGCACCGGCUAACUACGUGCCAGCAGCCGCGGUAAUACGUAGGGUGCGAGCGUUAAUCGGAAUUACUGGGCGUAAAGCGUGCGCAGGCGGUUUGCUAAGACCGAUGUGAAAUCCCCGGGCUCAACCUGGGAACUGCAUUGGUGACUGGCAGGCUAGAGUAUAGCAGAGGGGGGUAGAAUUCCACGUGUAGCAGUGAAAUGCGUAGAGAUGUGGAGGAAUACCGAUGGCGAAGGCAGCCCCCUGGGCCAAUACUGACGCUCAUGCACGAAAGCGUGGGGAGCAAACAGGAUUAGAAACCCUAGUAGUCCCAUGA
This 474-nucleotide ribosomal RNA is filed under the name uncultured organism. RNAcentral's name for it is "partial 16S ribosomal RNA". It matches the Rfam family "Bacterial small subunit ribosomal RNA", at positions 335 to 800 of the family's 1533-position model. The record is from RNAcentral.